RNAcentral lists this ribosomal RNA (496 nucleotides) under uncultured bacterium. RNAcentral's name for it is "partial 16S ribosomal RNA". It matches the Rfam family "Bacterial small subunit ribosomal RNA", at positions 28 to 523 of the family's 1533-position model. The record is from RNAcentral.
GAUGAACGCUAGCGGCAGGCCUAAUACAUGCAAGUCGAACGGGAUCAGGGAGCUUGCUCCCUGUGAGAGUGGCGCACGGGUGCGUAACACGUAUGCAACCUACCUUCAACUGGGGGAUAGCCUUCCGAAAGGAAGAUUAAUACCGCAUAACAUAAUUGAAUGGCAUCAUUUGAUUAUCAAACGUCAGGGUUGAAGAUGGGCAUGCGUCCGAUUAGCUAGUUGGUGUGGUAACGGCACACCAAGGCGACGAUCGGUAGGGGAUCUGAGAGGAUGAGCACCGGAACUGGUACUGAGACACGGACCAGACUCCUACGGGAUGCAGCAGUAAGGAAUAUUGGUCAAUGGGCAGAAGUCUGAACCAGCCAUGCCGCGUGCAGGAAGUCGGUCCUCUGGAUUGUAGACUGCUUUUGUUAGGGAAAAAACCCUCGGAUGCGUCCGGGGCUGACGGUACCUAAAGAAUAAGGAUCGGCUAACUCCGUGCCAGCCGCCGCGGUAA